RNAcentral lists this ribosomal RNA (495 nucleotides) under uncultured bacterium. RNAcentral describes it as "partial 16S ribosomal RNA". It matches the Rfam family "Bacterial small subunit ribosomal RNA", at positions 28 to 507 of the family's 1533-position model. The record is from RNAcentral.
GAUGAACGCUGGCGGCGUGCCUAAUACAUGCAAGUCGAGCGAACGGACGAGAAGCUUGCUUCUCUGAUGUUAGCGGCGGACGGGUGAGUAACACGUGGAUAACCUACCUAUAAGACUGGGAUAACUUCGGGAAACCGGAGCUAAUACCGGAUAAUAUUUUGAACCGCAUGGUUCAAAAGUGAAAGACGGUCUUGCUGUCACUUAUAGAUGGAUCCGCGCUGCAUUAGCUAGUUGGUAAGGUAACGGCUUACCAAGGCAACGAUGCAUAGCCGACCUGAGAGGGUGAUCGGCCACACUGGAACUGAGACACGGUCCAGACUCCUACGGGAGGCAGCAGUAGGGAAUCUUCCGCAAUGGGCGAAAGCCUGACGGAGCAACGCCGCGUGAGUGAUGAAGGUCUUCGGAUCGUAACUCUGUUAUUAGGGAAGAACAUAUGUGUAAGUAACUGUGCACAUCUUGACGGUACCUAAUCAAAAAGCCACGGCUAACUACGUG